GAUGAACGCUGGCGGCGUGCCUAAUACAUGCAAGUCGAGCGAACAGAUGAGGAGCUUGCUCCUCUGACGUUAGCGGCGGACGGGUGAGUAACACGUGGAUAACCUACCUAUAAGACUGGGAUAACUUCGGGAAACCGGAGCUAAUACCGGAUAAUAUAUUGAACCGCAUGGUUCAAUAGUGAAAGACGGGUUUGCUGUCACUUAAAGAUGGAUCCGCGCCGCAUUAGCUAGUUGGUAAGGUAACGGCUUACCAAGGCAACGAUGCGUAGCCGACCUGAGAGGGUGAUCGGCCACACUGGAACUGAGACACGGUCCAGACUCCUACGGGAGGCAGCAGUAGGGAAUCUUCCGCAAUGGGCGAAAGCCUGACGGAGCAACGCCGCGUGAGUGAUGAAGGUCUUCGGAUCGUAAAACUCUGUUAUUAGGGAAGAACAAAUGUGUAAGUAACUAUGCACGUCUUGACGGUACCUAAUCAGAAAGCCACGGCUAACUACGUG
RNAcentral lists this ribosomal RNA (497 nucleotides) under uncultured bacterium. Its description in RNAcentral is "partial 16S ribosomal RNA". It matches the Rfam family "Bacterial small subunit ribosomal RNA", at positions 28 to 507 of the family's 1533-position model. The record is from RNAcentral.